Molecule: ribosomal RNA, 273 nt
Filed under: uncultured bacterium
Lineage: Bacteria
Description: partial 16S ribosomal RNA
Rfam family: Bacterial small subunit ribosomal RNA
Source: RNAcentral
UACGUAGGGGGCGAGCGUUGUCCGGAUUCAUUGGGCGUAAAGCGCGCGCAGGCGGCCAGAUGAGCCCGGCGUGAAAGCCCCCGGCUCAACCGGGGGAGGUCGUCGGGGACCGUCUGGCUGGAGGCCGGUAGGGGCGAGCGGAAUUCCCGGUGUAGUGGUGGAAUGCGUAGAGAUCGGGAGGAACACCAGUGGCGAAGGCGGCUCGCUGGGCCGGUCCUGACGCUCAGGCGCGAAAGCGUGGGGAGCGAUCCGGAUUAGAAACCCUAGUAGUCC